CAAAGCCAGGAGCUGGAAGUUCCAUCCAGGUCUCCCACACCCAAGUAUUGGAUCCCUUCUGAGAGUCUGCAUUAGCUGGAAGCUGGAAUUAGGAGCAGAGACAAGACUUCAACCCAGGCGCUCUGGAAAUCAGCUACAUUUGUUGCUGUGGAUUCAUUCUGAGAGGAGGAGCAUGGUGGGGGCAAGAGGCAUGGAGUCACCACACAGACCCCGGGAGUCAGGUGAAAGCAGGCCAGAGCUCUUUGCUAUUGCCUUGGAAAGCAGUAGAAGAUGGUCCAAGUCUUUGGAGCCCUGAACCCACGUGGGAGACUCAGAAGAAGCUCCUGGCUCCUGGCUUCAGAUUGCUGCAGCUCCAGCCAUGGCAGCCAAUUGGGGAAUGAACCAGUGGAUGGAAGACCUCUGCCUCUCUGCCUCUUCUUCUCUCUGUGUGUUAUUUUCAAAAAAUAAAUAAAUAAAAAGAAAAUGCUAGGUGGGAAAACAUGAAAAAUGACUACAUAUCAGGCACUAAGAUCAGAGAACACCAUUUCAAGACAAACCUCAAAAGCAAGUAAUCAACUAUUUCUAAGAAAACAGAGCUUGUGAAGGUUCCUCUGGCAUUUUUGCAAAGGAAUACAGAGUUUAAAAUAAAGGCAGGCAUAAAUAAGCUUUAGGAAGAUAAGCUGACAAGUUUUCCUUCAAAAGAAUCUGCUGAAGCCAAGAAAAUGGUCAUAUUAGAAACAGAUUAUUUGAGAGGAUAGUUGACACCUGUAUUUUUCUAAGAAAGUCAAUCAUUAGAGAUGAAAUGGUCAAAUAUCAGAGAAAGUAAGACUGUGUGGUGAUAGAAAUAAAUACUAAAGUGCUCUUUAGACUCAGAGCUUCUACACAGAACAAACAAAUAAUUAACGGUGGGUCUGGGGGCUUACGAUGGCCCCCACAUAAUCCAGUGAAUGUAACUGUUGUGCAGGACAGAGAAACACAGAGUAGUGGUCUCAACAUGGGAGUCAAAGGGUUUCCUCUGAUCUCUCCAGAGAGUGCAGACAGCACACUGCCAGAGUGAGGUGUUCAAUUGGGAAGAAAGUUCUACGGACAGUUUGUGGGACCGGCGCUGUGGCACAGCACUGUGGCCUGAAGCACUGGCAUCCCAUAUGGGUGCUGGUUCAAGACCUGGCUGCUCCACUUCUAAUCCAGCUCUCUGCUAUGGCCUGGAAAAGCAGUGGAAUAUGGCCCAAGUCCUUGGGUCCCUGCACCUACAUGGGAGUCAUGGAGGAAGCUCCUGGUUCCUGGCUUCAGAUCGGCACAGCUCUGGCUGUUGUGGCCAAUUGGGGAAUGAGCCAUCAGAUGGAAGACCUCUCUCCCCCUCUCUCUGC
This is a non-coding RNA of Oryctolagus cuniculus (rabbit), 1346 nucleotides long. NCBI's taxonomy places the organism in Eukaryota, Metazoa, Chordata, Mammalia, Lagomorpha, Leporidae. The record is from RefSeq and is a predicted model, not a curated record.